GAUGUGGUUGAUAAAACUAUGUCAAUUGGAAUGAGAACGAUUGAAAAGAUUUAACGAGAAACAAGAAGAGGGCAAGUCUGGUGCCAGCAGCCGCGGUAAUACCAGCUCUUCUAGCAUAUAUUAAAGUUGCUGCAGUUAAAACGCUCGUAGUUUGAAUUAUUUCGGCACUUGGCGGUUGGACGAUUUAAUUUGUCCGGCAGUCAGGGAGCCGAAUUAAAGCUCGGGGUGGAGGCGAUUAAUUUCUCUUCAUCCAGAUAACCUUGAAAAAAUAUUGUCGCUCAAAAAAGGACGGAAAAGUCUAUUGAGAUUUCAGCAUGGGAUUAUGGAAAAAGGGGAGGGGGUUGCGAGAGGGGGUAAAAGCCCGAUUGGCCCUCUUCCAAUGGUUAAUGAGGACGAUGCGUGGGAGUUCAUAUUAAAGUGUCAGAGGUGAAAUUCUUGGAUUACUUUAAGAUGAACAUCAGCGAAGGCGUUCUUCAAGUGCGUGCCUGUCGAUCAAGAACGAAAGUUGGGGGAUCGAAGACGAUCAGAUACCGUCGUAGUCUCAACCUUAAACUAUGCCGACUAUGAAUAGGAUAUCGUUUUAAGAACAGUGUCAAAAGCUGUUCUGAUGACUUCUCCUGCGCAUUAAAAGAAAUUAAGAGUUUUUGGGUUCCGGGGGGAGUAUAGUCGCAAGGCCGAAACUUAAAGGAAUUGACGGAAGGGCACCACCAGGUGUGGAGCCUGCGGCUUAAUUUGACCCAACACGGGGAAACUUACCAGGUCCAGACAGCGUGAGGAUUGACAGAUUGAUAGCUCUUUCAUGAUUCGUUGGGUGGUGGUGCAUGGCCGUUCUUAGUUGGUGGUGUGAGUUGUCUGGUUGAUUCCGUUAACGAACGAGACCUUUGUUGUAUAAUACGAGGCGCUAGUUUUUGCGUCAAGGGCGGAGCGUCCUUCUUGAGAUACGAGCAAUCGCCUUGGGAAAAGAUGUUUCGCUUGCAUAGCUAGCGCCAGUUUCGUUCUAUACAAGACAAAUACAGAAAAUGUAUUGGAAGUUAUAGGCAAAAACAGGUCUGUGAUGCCCUUCGAUGUUCUGGGCUGCACGCGCGCUACAAUGACAAUAUCAGCGAGUUUUUUUUCAGCUUGGGCGAAAGCUCUGGCAAAUCUUCGAAAUGUUGUCGUACUAUGGAUUGUUGAUUGCAACUAUUCGACAUAAAACAGGAAUACCUAGUAGACGUGCUUCAUCAGAGUACGUCGAUUACGUCCCUGCCCUUUGUACACACCGCCCGUCGCUCCUACCGAUUGGAACAUACGGUGGAAAUCUCGGAG
RNAcentral lists this ribosomal RNA (1305 nucleotides) under metagenome. RNAcentral describes it as "bacterial SSU rRNA". It matches the Rfam family "Eukaryotic small subunit ribosomal RNA", at positions 485 to 1715 of the family's 1831-position model. The record is from RNAcentral.